AUGGGCUUAUGUAAACUGCCCGGGCGGUGUCCAAGUUUGUCAUGUAGUUACCUAUCUCUGUUUACUUAUCUCUGCUGGUUCAUGUAUUUCGUCUGUAUAAAGUUGAAGAAUGAUCGAUGUUACCAUUUUCAGUUAUUUGUUCUUUUGCUUUUCAGGUUUGCAUGUAAACUUUUGUGCUAUAUUGAACUUCUUGUAAUACAAAACGACAAGUGUUUUGGGGGGUGUCCUUGGAAUUUGUGUACAUGUGCUCGGUGUUCAUUAUAUUCUAAUCGUCCACUUCCUCAGCACAUUUUCAGGCCAGUUCUGACACCUUCCUUUUUUGCUGAUGGAGAUGGAAUUUUAGCAGCACCAAAUCAUACUAUCAUCAAUAGUAAUGAAAAACCUCAAGACCCGGGUCAGAGUUGCAGCCUGCUGCCCAGUUCCCCAACUGAGGAUUCUCCUCUUUAUAUGCUUGCUACUUCAGAUGGGGCUCUAAGUAAUAAAUAUGUUAUGGAUGACUUGACAACCAUGAGUGGCAGUCAUGUAGUACUCCCUUCCAUUCAGGAAAAUGUAGGGGCCAGCAGUAUUGCCUUUGCUGGUACAACUGCAGACAUGUGCUUUGUUAAGAACCCGCAGUCUCAAUUCCUUGGUCAGCCUUCAACUUGCUCUUCACCGGAAAUAAUUGAUCUUACUCAGAUUGAUGACAUGGAUGAAACUGAUGAUGUACCAAUGGAAUUAGCACCUAUACCUGAAUUAGAUGCUCUUACAGACAUGGAUCAGAUUGAUAACGUACCAAUGUUACUACCUAGGAAGAAUGUCACUCUUGCACUAGAUCUUGAUGGCACCCUUAUCCACUCAGCAAGGUACGACCAUGGCGCGGACUUCUCAUUUCCUAUGCGCCGUGGAGAAGAAGAGUACACUGUCUACGUGAAGAAGAGACCACAUGUAGAUGCCUUCCUUGAAGAGGCGGCUCAUAUGUUUGAGCUUGUUGUAUUUACGGCUAGCACAAGCUCUUAUGCAAACCAAGUGAUUAAUGCAUUGGAUCCUGAGAACAGACUGAUAUCACGGCGUUUUUUCCGGGAGUCAUGUGUCUCGGUAGAUGGAAACUACCAGAAGGAUCUGACCAUUAUUGAAGCUGAUCUUGCAAAGGUUGCGAUUGUUGACAAUACCCCUGAGGUUUUCCAGCAACAGGUGAAUAAUGGGAUAGCCAUAAAGAGCUGGUCAAGUGGCCGGUAUGACAUUUCGCUGCUUGAGCUGAUCCCCUUCUUGGAAACAAUUGCUGACGCGGAUGAUGUCCGGCCGAUCAUUGCAGACAAAUUUGCCAAUUAA
RNAcentral lists this ribosomal RNA (1308 nucleotides) under Triticum aestivum (bread wheat). RNAcentral's name for it is "partial small subunit ribosomal RNA". The record is from RNAcentral. Lineage: Eukaryota; Viridiplantae; Streptophyta; Magnoliopsida; Poales; Poaceae.